This 755-nucleotide long non-coding RNA is filed under the name Gossypium raimondii (Peruvian cotton). Its description in RNAcentral is "long non-coding RNA (GRAI_LNC008139)". Lineage: Eukaryota; Viridiplantae; Streptophyta; Magnoliopsida; Malvales; Malvaceae. The record is from RNAcentral.
UAAUGUAAAAUAUUAUUUAAAUAAUUGCAUCACUAAAGACUCGAAAAUACACAUUAUUAUUUUAUUAAUAAUUUUAAUAAUUUCUUAAGAAAUAAAUUAGAAGUUAUAACUUAUAUAGGGUGAGAGUUAAAAAGUCUUUCUAAACCCUCUGUGACCCUUAUUAUUUACUUUAUAUUGUAAUACCUAAUUUUUGACCCGGGCCCAACUAAGCCUAAAGCCCAAACACAUUACAAGCUCAAGUCACUAACCCAAAUCCCAGCCUACCCCUAAGCAGUGGCUAACAGCAGAUUGGAGCCGCAGCAACUAGCAACCGUUCUAUUGCCCACGUUGUGCUUGCACGACACACCUCAUUCACGUUCUCCUUCACCUGCAAUAAACCACAGACAGUAGGUGUAACUGAAAAGGGAACAAAUUGUAAAAAAGGAUUUGGCUAUAAAAAGCCAAUGAAUUUUUAUAAUAGGGGGUUAACAAGUUUUGUAUUGAAAUUAAAGAAAAUAAAAAAAGAAAAAAACAGAAAAGCAAGGAUUUUAAAGGUGAUUUUCCGGGUCUAUUUUUUUUUCUUACUCACUGAUUUCUUUGUUUGUUUUUUUUUCUUUUCCUUUGCACACCAAACAAAAAUAAAAGGAGGAGGAGAAAUCCUUACCAAAAGAGGCGCGCCGUCGACAUCUUUGCUUCUCUUCGUCCAAAUCGAAGUUGGAAGGGGGGAGUUUGGCUUGAAAACAGAGAAGGUGGAGCAGUCCUUGUGGUGGCUGCUG